UAGGGAAUCUUCCACAAUGGGCGAAAGCCUGAUGGAGCAACGCCGCGUGUGUGAUGAAGGGUUUCGGCUCGUAAAACACUGUUGUAAGAGAAGAAUGACAUUGAGAGUAACUGUUCAAUGUGUGACGGUAUCUUGCCAGAAAGGAACGGCUAAAUACGUGCCA
RNAcentral lists this ribosomal RNA (163 nucleotides) under uncultured bacterium. RNAcentral's name for it is "partial 16S rRNA". It matches the Rfam family "Bacterial small subunit ribosomal RNA", at positions 355 to 510 of the family's 1533-position model. The record is from RNAcentral.